UACGGGGGGAGCAAGCGUUGUUCGGAUUUACUGGGCGUAAAGGGCGCGUAGGCGGCCACCGCAAGUCAGUUGUGAAAUCUCCGAGCUUAACUCGGAAAGGUCAACUGAUACUGCGGGGCUAGAGUGCGGAAGGGGCAACUGGAAUUCUUGGUGUAGCGGUGAAAUGCGUAGAUAUCGAGAGGAACACCUGCGGCGAAGGCGGGUUGCUGGGCUGACACUGACGCUGAGGCGCGAAAGUGUGGGGAUCAAACAGG
This 254-nucleotide ribosomal RNA is filed under the name uncultured bacterium. RNAcentral's name for it is "partial 16S ribosomal RNA". It matches the Rfam family "Bacterial small subunit ribosomal RNA", at positions 524 to 776 of the family's 1533-position model. The record is from RNAcentral.